This is a long non-coding RNA of Rattus norvegicus (Norway rat), 1114 nucleotides long. RefSeq lists it as uncharacterized. NCBI's taxonomy places the organism in Eukaryota, Metazoa, Chordata, Mammalia, Rodentia, Muridae. The record is from RefSeq and is a predicted model, not a curated record.
CUCCAAGUGACAGGUACUUUUGGAGAAGUCAGAGCUCAGUUUGUAGCAGGGGGGAGGCGGGGGGAGGUAUAAGGCACCCGUGCUGAAUUAGUCACCGAGUUGUGACUGCGCUGCUCAUUUGGCGGUUCCAGCAAGGCACAAGGAAAUUGUUGAUUGCUGGAGGCCAGUGCCCGGGGAAGAAGGGCUUUUGUUCUGUUUCUGAGACUGGAACUGGUUAAUUUUGACUUGGCUUUCGGAAUGCCUUAGCGAGGGAGAAACCGGAACCUCAACCUCACCUUAGCGCUGGGGCUGGACUAUACCAACUGAAAUUCACCCUGGAGAGACCACACCCAAGCACCUACUCUGUCUUGGCAGGACAGGGCAGGGCGUCGUCCUCCUGUUACCCAGCCGAGCACCGAGCACCGGAAGGGACAAAGUGGGAAGCCGGCAUCCCCAUAUAGUAAACCCUGCCACUUCGGAGCUCAUGUGCUUUGGAAGGGUCCCCCAGGCAGGUGCCCACCGCGCAAUCAUUACUCUUAUAAUGACCCGAAGGAGAGAGACAAAGCGAGGCACGGGUGGAGGCUGCAGUGGGUGGAACUCUCACACAAUUCCUCCCGCGAUGUGUUCAUGCGAAGAAAUAGCCUGAAAGACUGAAUGGGUGGCUAAAUGCUUGGCCAUGCUGAUGCAUACGUAAACAAUGCAUGUAAAGGUGCUGGCGAAGAGCAGCUGGACUCUGCUGAGAUCCUGGAGAGGCUGGAGGCUCCGGCUAAAGAAGCUGCUGGGGACCACGUGGGCCGCCUGUGACAGAUAACUCCAGCUCGCUGUACUCCGCUGUACUCCGUGUGAGCCUCGAUUCAAGAUGAGAUCAAGAGAGGAAAAUGGAGCCAGCCCUCAGCCUCUGGCUACCCCUCCUUGCUGCUCUUGCAUUCGGAGCCUCAGGAUUCUCAGGCCCUACACUUCCUGGACGUCUUUGAAAAACCCAUCUGGCUAGUGUGUUUUGGUUAAAUGCUUUGCUGUUUGCACCACUAACUGCGGUGCUGUGACAUGAUUGGAUGGCAUUAAAAAAAGCCCAUUCACUUAGACAUCCUUCCCGUGCAUUCUCACUUAAUAAAUUAAACAACUAUUUGGGGUAAAA